RNAcentral lists this long non-coding RNA (3876 nucleotides) under Homo sapiens (human). RNAcentral's name for it is "HSALNT0135197". The record is from RNAcentral. Lineage: Eukaryota; Metazoa; Chordata; Mammalia; Primates; Hominidae.
CAGCAUCAACUUGUACCUCAAGCUAGAACAAAAUGAGGAAGCAAAACUUCUGAAACAAUGGCGUAACUAUGAAGACAAAGCUUGCAAAGACUUCGUGGUUUCAAGGCUUAGUAAUGAAUGCUUACAUGAAAGAAGUGUGUAUCCAGAGCUAUGUUGUAAUCCCAACUCAUCAUCAUUCAAAACAUCCUAAACAUCACUUAUCUUGAAGUUUUAAUAAUAAGAAAAUAGGAAGCUGCUGUGGAACAGAGACUCCAACUGACUGCAGGAUUCUAACUGCACAAUGAUUUUGUAUGCUCCUGUUCUCUUCUUCCAUAUAACAGCAAACAUAGUGUAUUUCUCCUUUUCUAAGGUAUAGCAUGUUCUUCUAGACUCUCCAUGGGCCUGUUUUGUGGAUGGGUCUAAUCACACAGAGGAAACUUCUUUCCUUACUUGAUAGUUACAUGGGGAGAUAAUGUAUUUUUUUCCAGCUUAGCCCCAAAGCAAUCAGUUGACAAGUCCAGAGAAGACCCCUGUGGUAAAGUAAAAUAUAAAGACUCUCUGGGUAGCAGGUGUUUCCCUUUUAAUGACAGCUUAACUGGUGAAGUGUUGAGCAGAACACUGCUGUUUAUCCCUGCUGUUUGCAUUGGGCUGGAAGCCAGCCCAAACCUGCCUUGGUGACAUUUCAGGUCAGAUUAUUGUAUCAGGAAAUUCCCACAUAGCCAGUGGACAGUGGAGGGCUGCAGCCUGCACACGUAUAACUAGAUCCAGAAAAGGAGAAAUUCAAGGAAAGAUGGGCACCCUAGGUCUGUGGGGCAUAAUGAAGGCUUUAAGGGGUCAGAAGAGAACAAAGUACAGGCUUUGCCUGAAAUCUACAUGUCUCUGGUUUAAGAAGAAAAUUACAUAGUAGAUGAUGACAUGAAUGGAGAACAAAUGAAAUCGUGUUUAAGGCUGCAGUGACUCAUCUUCUCAUUCUUUCACACAGUAGAUUUAUGUCAUUAAGCUCCUCGAAUGGUAAAGUACCCACUAGUCCAUGGUUGAGUAUUUGAAAACUAAUAUGCUUGAAACUUCAUUAAAUGUAUAAUCUGGCAGAGUGGGAAAAAUGUAUACAAAUAACUUUUAAGUAUAGUAAAAUUGACCUAAAAACAAAGUUCUUUCCUAAUUUGAAGGCUGCAGAGGAUACUUUUCUGAUCAAGGGUAAUAGAAAAGACUUAAAGAAAACAUGAAUUUGCAUAAGGAGUAGGACUUCCAUCAAUUAGGAGAAAUAAAAUAACUUCAUAAGUUUAGCAAUCAGUAUGAAUUGAAGUUUGGGAAAAGGGAUGCGGACAUGUUAGGGAAUACUAGGAAAAAAGAAGGACCCCUAUUUUAAAUGGAACGAGGCUCUUUGUAGGAAAAUAAUAAAAAUUAAGCCUGAAAGUACAAACUUGGCUAAUAUGGUUGAAGUGCCUCAUAAAUGUGAAUGAGAAAUGUUUUCUUUCAUUGAGAGAUAUUGAAUGUUUUUGAUACCAAAACACCAGCCAUUUGGUCUAGGUCCCAUUGCUCACUGCACAGAAACCCCAUCACAGAGACAACAAGUAUUGCCAAAGAAGAAGGCUUUAUUCAAGUGCUUCAGCCAAAAAGAUGGGAGAUCAAUCUCAAACGCAUCUCUCAAACCAUCUAAAAUUGGGGGUUUACAUAGCAGAGAAGGAAUGUAGUAUGUGUGAGAAAGCAGGGAUUAGGGAUUAGGAUGGUAAGAAAGAGGAGCUGGUCAACAGAAAGCAGGCAGUCAGUUGGUAAAACAGGAAUUAGGGAGAGGUAAGGAAGAUGAGUUUCACUUCCUUAAUACCAUCUGGGAGGCCUGAGAGUCAGUUUCCUAAGAGGGAACUCAGAUAAGACAAAUGUAAAUUUCAAGCUUUAAGACCAGGAGGAUCAAUUUUUAUUUGUCUCAAAAACUGUCAUCUAUGGGCUGGUUUCAUUUUGACCAAGGGAGUGAGGGCAUUGUUUCAGUCUCCACCCAAGGCAGGCAGAGAAUAGAAGGAAUAAGACAGGAUGGAAGGGAAUGGUAAAUGAGGAAAGCAGGGGAAAAGGAGGUCAAAUGGGGCUGGAUUCCUGAUGAAAAAAGAAGAAAAACAUAGAAGGGGAGAGUGGUAGGAAGGGUAGGAAUGAAGUAGGGCUAACUUGGGGCAACAGGAAGAGAAGCAUAGAUACAUGGCAGCUCAGAAAAAGGUCUAAAGGAAAUAUUCGACCAAAGAAAGAAACAGCACACAAAACCAAAGCUCUGGGCUCUCUGUCUCAGACUGUUCAGGCCGCUAUAACAAAAUGCCACAGACUGGGUGGUUUAUAAACAACAGAAAUUUAUUUCCCACAAUUCUAAAGACUGGGAAGUUCAAGAUCAAAUCACCAACAGAUUCAGUGUCUGGUGAGGACCUGCUUCCUAUUCAUAGAUAUCCAUCUUUUGGCAGUUUCCUCACAUGGUGGAAGAGGCAAGGGAUCUUUCUAGGACCUAUUUUAUAGGGCACCAAUCACCCCCCAAAGGCCCCACCUCCUAAUACCAUCAUCUUAAGGGUUAGGAUUUUAACACAGACACUUUGAUUCAGUCCAUUGCAAGUGGUGUUGAGGCAGGAUGUGGUUGGGACCCAAAAUUGCAAACAGAAAGAGCCCAGAGAAGUUCCCUGAGACAACAGCAAGAAAAAAGAAUGAUCUACUGCUCAAGAACCUUGCAGUACAACACACACCAGUUUCAGUGUCUAAUGAUAUAUGUCACUAGUUGGUUGGACAUAUUGAAAAUAAGCAGCCAAAUGAAAGAAAGGGUUUGGUUUACAAAAUGCUUUUCAUCCAAUUUGUCAACUCAUUGACAUGACAUGGGGUGCAGGAAAAAUGGGAACAGAAUUAAAAUAUGGAAUGGCUGGACGAUGCUGAUUGCGUUCAUUUAAAACACAAUUUUAAAUGCAGAUUUUUUAAAAAAUAAAAGCUGGUUUGUUAGAAGAAAAUGGCAGGUUUGAUGUGAGUCAUUGAGUUUGAGAAGCUAGCAAAAUGUCCAGACAGUGACAUUUAGACAAUUGAAAUUCAUGGAUUCAGCUCAGAAGACCAAAUGUGUUGUACAAAGGACCUAGACUUUUAAAAUAUUCACACAUUGGUUAGAGUUGAAACUAGGGGUUGUGUAGAAAGACAAAAAUUAAUAAUAAUCAUACAAAUUCAAAAAUACAUGUUCUAAGUCAGUACAUGGGAACCACAGUGAGGUGACCAUCAAGACCUCAUAAAUGAGUUUCUCCUUAGAGAUUUUAUAUAUAUAUACACACACACACACAUACAUACAUAUAUAUAUACAUAUAUAUACACAUACAUACAUAUAUAUACAUACAUACAUAUAUAUACAUAUAUAUAUAUAUCUCAACAUAAAAUGGAUCCAAAAAAAGACAAGAAGAGAUACUUCAAAAUUUUAAAAAGACAAAAUGAUUCCUGAAAUUAGCUCUAUCCCAUACUCAUAGAACAGUCUUGGCACACGAUAGAUGAUCAACAAAUAUUGGGUUAUUGAAGAUGAAUAUGAAUUGAUUGUAAUUAGAAGAUCCAUGUCUAAGAAACAAAGACAUCAGUGAGAAGUUGGGUUGAUCAGAGCUAGAGCAGCGGAAAGGCAGACACUUCAUCAUUCUCUGUGGCCCCUAGGCAGACUAAAUCAUACUGUGGGAAGGAACAAAUAAGGAUAUUUCAGGCACAAACUUCCAGGACUUAGUUUUAUGAUUGAGUGUUUAAAGGCUUCAGGCUAUUAAAAUCAGAGAACUCUCCCAGUUAUGUUUCUAGGCAUACCUAGGAACCUUCUGAUUAUAAUUUGGCUCCCAUGCAGUUUUUCUACAGGAAGAUGUGCUGUCAAAUAUAAAUGAAUAUUUGUUCCCUUUGGUCAUUAUAUUUCUCGCAAUAAAUUAA